This is a long non-coding RNA of Numida meleagris (helmeted guineafowl), 1544 nucleotides long. RefSeq lists it as uncharacterized. NCBI's taxonomy places the organism in Eukaryota, Metazoa, Chordata, Aves, Galliformes, Numididae. The transcript has 6 exons. The record is from RefSeq and is a predicted model, not a curated record.
GCUGUGGUUCCUGCUCUAAGCACAGCUUGCUUUGCACAGGGCUGCUUUAGCAGCAGGUUUUGAUGCGGAUACACAUUUAUAGGACAUUCAGAAUCUGCCCUAUUCCAUUUUGCUAGGCUGCAGGAGCAAGGAGCGGCUUAGCUUGGGACAUCCUACAUCACCUUUCUGCAUGGCACCAUGCACUGUACAGCCAGGAUCAGACCCACAAGGCUUGGCUGAGGCUGCAGAUCAGUCCCCCAUCCCAUCCCCAUCUUCAUCCCCGUCCCCUGUGGGGUUCAGCAUCCUCCAAGAUGAGAGCAAGGGUUGGUGAAGCCCUGCGGAGCCUUGGGGAUGCUCUGUAAAUGAUAUUAUUAUCUCUAAUGAAGGGAUUGCCUUGCCUUCCUGUCAGUCUCCAUCCAUCACCGCUAACAGAGCGACAUAAGCAAUAGAACCACACACGGCCCUGGGGGCUGGCAGCUCUGCAGCCUUGCUGCACUCCCUGGGGCAGCUCCGAGGCGAGGACUGACACUGUGUAUUCCCUCGCUGCCAACUCUGAAUGCUUUGAGGAGGCUGCUGAGACUUUUGGGCAUUAGGAAGAGUGUAGGGAAAAGAGACAUUGCCAGUGUGACCUGCUUAAAUUACUGAGUUUGCUGUCUUGGGUAAAGAAACUCCAUCCCAGGACUCUGUGAUUCCUGUGUUGGCCAAAGCUUGAGCUCCUCAGGUGAUGCUGUUUGUGAGCCUGUGGUGGCACAGCUGGCUCUGAUUAUAGCCCUUUGCUUUCACAACAGUUGGUUGUCUUUAUAAAGCCUGACCUUGGGUGACUGCAUGGGUGUUCAUUUCCCUUGAUGCUUUCAUGGUGAGUGUCUGGCUUGUUUGGUGGUGGAGCCUAAGCCUUCAAAGCAAGAAGCCUGCAGUGAGGGCUGCUGCUGCCAACAACGAAUUCACCUGCUGAGGACUGGGGAGGAGCAGUGAGUGGAAUCCUGGUGCACGGCCUCCGGAGGAAGUGCAGAGGGUGACUGUGAGCUGAUGGAUGGGCUGCUGCCAGCCAUGGUUUUGGCAUGUCCCUGGCCAUUGGGAUGUCAAUCCUCUUAGUAACGCCAGCCCGACUUCUAAUCAUGCUGCACUGGGUGUCUCACACUGUGCUUCCACUCCCAGUUUCCAAACUGAGCUUCAAGGCUGUGCCAUCCCCAAAGGCCUCUGGAUGCCAUUAUAGCAGGACGGUUGCUUGGAGCAGCAGAGCUGACGUUUCCAUGGAGGUGCUGCUGCAAGAUGAGGUGCUGCGUUUGCCGAGCGAACAGAAGCUUUGAAAGAAGGUCCUGCUGGUCGUACCAGGGCUCCUCUUCCUCGCUCUGAAACUCCUCCAUCCUGUCGGUGCUCAGCAUUUAGCACCAGCGCCCGGGGGAGCUCGGUGGAGACCUCUAGCAUGGAAAUGCUGCAAGGAAAGCCGGCGAGAGGGAAGGGGGGGCGAGGCCGAUCUCCUCCUCCUCCUCCUCCUCUUCCACGCCCAGCCGCCCUCAGCCUCCCCUCCCGGAGUGCGGGGAUCUCUGGUUCCCCGUUCGCACGGC